UGGGAAUUUGGACAAUGGGCGAAAGCCUGAUCCAGCAAUGCCGCGUGUGUGAAGAAGGCCUUCGGGUUGUAAAGCACUUUUGUCCGGAAAGAAAUCCUUGGCUCUAAUACAGUCGGGGGAUGACGGUACCGGAAGAAUAAGCACCGGCUAACUACGUGCCAGCAGCCGCGGUAAUACGUAGGGUGCAAGCGUUAAUCGGAAUUACUGGGCGUAAAGCGUGCGCAGGCGGUUUGCUAAGACCGAUGUGAAAUCCCCGGGCUCAACCUGGGAACUGCAUUGGUGACUGGCAGGCCAGAGUAUGGCAGAGGGGGGUAGAAUUCCACGUGUAGCAGUGAAAUGCGUAGAGAUGUGGAGGAAUACCGAUGGCGAAGGCAGCCCCCUGGGCCAAUACUGACGCUCAUGCACGAAAGCGUGGGGGAGCAAAACAGGAUUAGAUACCCUGGUAGUCCACGCCCUAAAACGAUGUCAACUAGUUGUUGGGGAUUCAUUUCCUUAGUAACGUAGCUAACGCGUGAAGUUGACCGCCUGGGGAGUACGGUCGCAAGAUUAAAACUCAAAGGAAUUGACGGGGUCAUAGCUGUUUCCU
RNAcentral lists this ribosomal RNA (586 nucleotides) under uncultured bacterium. RNAcentral's name for it is "partial 16S ribosomal RNA". It matches the Rfam family "Bacterial small subunit ribosomal RNA", at positions 357 to 1375 of the family's 1533-position model. The record is from RNAcentral.